RNAcentral lists this ribosomal RNA (502 nucleotides) under Huntiella omanensis. Its description in RNAcentral is "eukaryotic LSU rRNA". The stretch from base 142 to 295 matches the Rfam family "5.8S ribosomal RNA". The record is from RNAcentral. Lineage: Eukaryota; Fungi; Ascomycota; Sordariomycetes; Microascales; Ceratocystidaceae.
CUGAGUUUUUAACUCUGUUAACCAUUUGUGAAUUUACCAAACAUGAACUGCAUUGGCGGGUCUCCCGCCGGCAGUACUCUUGAACUCGUUUUUAUAUAAAGAAUUUAUUCAUUGCUGAGUACCAUUUUAUAAAUGUAUUAAAACUUUCAACAACGGAUCUCUUGGCUCUAGCAUCGAUGAAGAACGCAGCGAAAUGCGAUAAGUAAUGUGAAUUGCAGAAUUCAGUGAAUCAUCGAAUCUUUGAACGCACAUUGCGCCCAGCACUACUCUGCUGGGCAUGCCUGUCCGAGCGUCAUUUCACCACUCAAGCUCUGCUUGUUGUUGGAGAGCCUGUGCUAUGCGCGGGCCUCUGAAAUGCAUCGGCUGUGUUACAUGCAGUUUCCCUGUGUAGUAAAACUUUAUUGUUGCACUUUGAAAUUCUUGUACUACAUGCCGUUAAACAACCCAAUUUUUUUAGGUUGACCUCGGAUCCGGUAGGAAUACCCGCUGAACUUAAGCAUAU